Pongo abelii (Sumatran orangutan) is the source of this 148-nucleotide unclassified non-coding RNA. It matches the Rfam family "Metazoan signal recognition particle RNA". From Rfam's summary of the family: The signal recognition particle (SRP) is a universally conserved ribonucleoprotein. NCBI's taxonomy places the organism in Eukaryota, Metazoa, Chordata, Mammalia, Primates, Hominidae. The record is from Ensembl.
GCUGGGCAUGGUGGUGCAUGCCUGUAAUCCCAGCUACUCAGGAGGCUGAGGCAGGAGAAUCGCUUGAACUCGGGAGGUGGAGGUUGCAGUGAGCCAAUAUCACGUCACUGCACUCCAGCCUGGGUGACAGAGAGAGACUCUGUCUCAA